RNAcentral lists this ribosomal RNA (699 nucleotides) under uncultured Bacilli bacterium. RNAcentral's name for it is "bacterial SSU rRNA". It matches the Rfam family "Bacterial small subunit ribosomal RNA", at positions 69 to 755 of the family's 1533-position model. The record is from RNAcentral. Lineage: Bacteria; Bacillati; Bacillota; Bacilli.
GAAGGAGGAGCUUGCUUCUCUGGAUGAGUUGCGAACGGGUGAGUAACGCGUAGGUAACCUGCCUGGUAGCGGGGGAUAACUAUUGGAAACGAUAGCUAAUACCGCAUAAGAGUAGAUGUUGCAUGACAUUUGCUUAAAAGGUGCAAUUGCAUCACUACCAGAUGGACCUGCGUUGUAUUAGCUAGUUGGUGGGGUAACGGCUCACCAAGGCGACGAUACAUAGCCGACCUGAGAGGGUGAUCGGCCACACUGGGACUGAGACACGGCCCAGACUCCUACGGGAGGCAGCAGUAGGGAAUCUUCGGCAAUGGACGGAAGUCUGACCGAGCAACGCCGCGUGAGUGAAGAAGGUUUUCGGAUCGUAAAGCUCUGUUGUAAGGGAAGAACGAGUGUGAGAGUGGAAAGUUCACACUGUGACGGUAUCUUACCAGAAAGGGACGGCUAACUACGUGCCAGCAGCCGCGGUAAUACGUAGGUCCCGAGCGUUGUCCGGAUUUAUUGGGCGUAAAGCGAGCGCAGGCGGUUAGAUAAGUCUGAAGUUAAAGGCUGUGGCUUAACCAUAGUACGCUUUGGAAACUGUUUAACUUGAGUGCAAGAGGGGAGAGUGGAAUUCCAUGUGUAGCGGUGAAAUGCGUAGAUAUAUGGAGGAACACCGGUGGCGAAAGCGGCUCUCUGGCUUGUAACUGACGCUGAGGCUCG